UUUCAUAAACAACGAACCAUAUUUACACACGUGUAUGUUGAAUUAUGCAGACUAUCGUUUUUAUCAAUGUUUAUUUAGACGUGUUUACAAACUUGCUAAGCUGUUCCAGCUAAACUGUUACCGGUAAAGUUUGUUCUCAUGAUCAAACUCAAGAAACUCUAAGUACAGAUGAUUUGUUUAACGUUAUAUGUAUUUUACUGUUGUUUUUACUUGAAGCUUUCUUAGAUUUUGAAACGAAGUAAACACGUAAUGUGUGUUGCUAAUGUUGGGCCAUGUAAUACAUUAACGUUUUAAUGAAUAGUCUAACGAUUUAUAAUCGUUGUACUCUAUUGUUAUAAUAUGUCUUUUUGACUGAAUACAUGUUUGUUUUAUUUGUCUAUAUCCUAGAUUCGCAGCUGGACACAUCAUUCUACACUGUAUGCAAACAUGCAACAUCAUUACACACAGUACAAGGAGUCAGACUGGCAUAUGAGGAGCAAAGGAACCCAGGCAGUAGCAUCGUUUCACAAUGUUUCAAUCACCAUCAUCAGUGGAUGCCUUUGCCGUCCGUACCCUGAGAUUUCAGAUUUGCAGCAAAAAAUUUGACUUUCCCAUUUAUUGGAAUGCUGUGCAGGCUGUACCUUGCAGCCAUCCAUUACAAUGUCACCAAGCCGUAACAAAAGCAGGAGAGGGAAAGUACAAGGCUAUGUUCCCAAAACACACAAGUGACAUACUGUAAGUGAAGA
This is a long non-coding RNA of Misgurnus anguillicaudatus (oriental weatherfish), 725 nucleotides long. RefSeq lists it as uncharacterized. NCBI's taxonomy places the organism in Eukaryota, Metazoa, Chordata, Actinopteri, Cypriniformes, Cobitidae. The record is from RefSeq and is a predicted model, not a curated record.